Molecule: non-coding RNA, 342 nt
Organism: Pantherophis guttatus
Lineage: Eukaryota; Metazoa; Chordata; Lepidosauria; Squamata; Colubridae
Source: RefSeq, a predicted model, not a curated record
GUCCUGCUCAAGCUGGAGACCCUAUAACAUUUUGGACAAAUGGCCGUCCAGUCUCCUCUUGAAAACUACCAGUGAUGGAGCACCCACAAUUUCUGGAGCUGGGAGGCGCGCUGAUAACCAGUCAAGGUCAACUGUCGUGACAUACCAGGAGGAUGGAGCCAUCAGAAGCUGCACCCCACAGGACCCCUUGGGGGGAUGUCAAUUGGAUAAUCCUGACUGGACCGUUGGGGGGGGUGUUUAAUGAUGCUUUCUAUUUGUGAUUUUCGCGCCUAUUGCCUCAGACCUUGUUUUUCUUUGGUUGCAUUCAGUUCAUGCUCAGUAAAAGUACCUUUCUCUAUGAAA